CAGUCGCCGCGGUAAAACCAGCACCUCGAGUGGUCAGGAGGUUUAUUGGGCCUAAAGCAUCCGUAGCCGGUUGCAUAAGUUUUCGGUUAAAUCUAUGCGCUUAACGUAUAGGCCGCCGAAAAUACUGUGCAGCUAGGGAGUGGGAGAGGUACACGGUACUCGAUAGGAAGGGGUAAAAUCCUUUGAUCUAUUGAUGACCACCUGUGGCGAAGGCGGUGUACCAGAACACGUUCGACGGUGAGGGAUGAAAGCCGGGGGAGCAAACCGGAUUAGAUACCCGCGUAGUCCCUGUCUCUUAUAC
This 301-nucleotide ribosomal RNA is filed under the name uncultured bacterium. Its description in RNAcentral is "partial 16S ribosomal RNA". It matches the Rfam family "Archaeal small subunit ribosomal RNA", at positions 459 to 760 of the family's 1478-position model. The record is from RNAcentral.